AGGUGCGAUCAUACCAGCACUAAUGCACCGGAUCCGAUCAGAACUCCGCAGUUAGGCAUGCUUGGGCGAGAGUAGUACUAGGAUGGGUGACCUCAUGCGAAGUCCUCGUGUUGCAUCUC
This 119-nucleotide ribosomal RNA is filed under the name Vigna radiata var. radiata (mung bean). Lineage: Eukaryota; Viridiplantae; Streptophyta; Magnoliopsida; Fabales; Fabaceae. The record is from RNAcentral.